UUGGAGUAAACCACGUUAGGUGGGCGCGUGGGUGCGUGCGUGUGUGGCGCAAGUCCAUGACCAGGUUGUUAGCUAGCCCAUGCAUGCCCAUGUGUUUGGCCGUGUCAUGUGUGGAUGGCCGGUGUGGUGUGCGUGCAUGUAGGUCAUGUAGUUAGUGGUUAGCUAAUGCGUGUGGGCAUGGCUUAGUGGCCGGUGUUGUGCAUGAGCUGUGUAUGUGCGCGUCUACUACUUAAGGUGCUGGCAGGUGGUAGAGCCAAAGUAGCCAAAGAGAGAUGUAGCCUCUCGGAGUGUAUGUGUGCUCGCCGUGGGGUUGUGUGUGUGGGGCAGAGUUCGAACUCGCCGGAAAUACAAGGGGCUGCUCGUGCAGCCGGAGGUGUUUGUGCGCGCGGGAAACCUCGUGUCCUCUCUCUCUUGUUUCUUCCUUGUCUUCGGUGAUCGCCGUGGUUCUGUGAGUAGGCUAGACACCAACAAUUGGUAUCAUGAGCUGGUUCAUCUUGGGUGUCGUCCCCUUGCCGGAGGCGUGCCGGCGGUGGCGGCAUUCGUCGGCGGCUGUGGCGGCACGGUGAGGAGGCCGCGGAGGACCUGCAUGGUGGCGGCUUCAACGACACACAGCGGCAUGGCGGCAUGGAGGUGCUGCGCUGCGGUGAGGCCGCAGCGGUGCACGGCAAUAAGCCGUGGCCGCGAGCCGGGCGCGACCGGUGCGUGUUAUGGGUGUGCACUGGACGCGUCGGGACCGCGGGAGCGCGUACGAGCGUGUGGUUGACGUUGCGAGGAGGCGUAUGUCGCCGUUGUGCUCGAGUCCGUGCUCGAGUUCGGCUACAUCCUUCCGGCGUUUGUCGCUGGCGGCUGCCAUGGCGGACGCGGAGGCGGCGCGCGGUGAGCGUCUGGUGCGGUCGGGCUCGUCGGGCGCGACGGGUGCGCGCGGGACGUGCGGGACGCACUGGUGCGGUCGGGCUCGUCGGGCGCGUCGGACGUGCGGGACGCAGAGGGACGCCAGGCGUGUGUCGCCGGCGGAGAAGGAGCGCGGCGUAUGUCGCCGGGGUCGUGACGGAGCACGGUGCGACCGGCGUCUGUGCGCCAGGUCGGGUCCGUGGCGGUGCGGCCGGGGUCGAUGCACCGGGUCGGGUCCGCGGGCUGAGUCACGGCCGUGACGACGACAAUAACAGGAGCUGCAACAACUCCGGCAACGGCGAGAUCGUGGUUUAGAAGGAGUAUGUUGGAGUAAACCACGUUAGAUGCGCACGUGGGUGCGUGCGUGCGUGGCGCAAGUCCAUGACCAGGUCGUUAGCUAGCCCAUGUAUGCCCAUGUGUUUGGCCGGGUGAUGUGUGGAUGGCCGGUGUGCUGUUCGUGCAUGUAGGUCAUGUAGUUAGUGGUUAGCUAAUGCGUGUGGGCAUGGCUUAGUGGCCCGUGUGGUGUAUGAGCUGUGUAUGUGCGCGUCUAUUACUUAAGGUGCUGGCAGGUGGUAGAGCCAAAGUAGCCAGAGAGACGUAGCCUCUGGGAGUGUAUGUGCGCUCGCCGUGGGGUUGUGUGUGGUAGAGUUCGAGCUCGCAGGAAAUAUAAGAGGCUGUUCGUGCGGCCGGAGGCGUUUGUACGCCG
Molecule: long non-coding RNA, 1597 nt
Filed under: Triticum aestivum (bread wheat)
Lineage: Eukaryota; Viridiplantae; Streptophyta; Magnoliopsida; Poales; Poaceae
Description: long non-coding RNA (TAES_LNC000828)
Source: RNAcentral